UACAGAGGGUGCGAGCGUUAAUCGGAAUUACUGGGCGUAAAGCGUGCGUAGACGGUUAUUUAAGUCGGAUGUGAAAGCCCCGGGCUCAACCUGGGAAUUGCAUUCGAGACUGAAUAGCUAGGGUGCGGUAGAGGGAAGCGGAACUUCCGGUGUAGCGGUGAAAUGCGUAGAUAUCGGAAGGAACAUCAGUGGCGAAAGCGGCUUCCUGGACCAGCACCGACGUUCAGGCACGAAAGCGUGGGGAGCAAACAGG
This 253-nucleotide ribosomal RNA is filed under the name uncultured bacterium. RNAcentral's name for it is "partial 16S ribosomal RNA". It matches the Rfam family "Bacterial small subunit ribosomal RNA", at positions 524 to 776 of the family's 1533-position model. The record is from RNAcentral.